UAUCUGCAGUCGAGGGGCAGCAGGACUGUAGCAAUACAGUUGCUGGCGACCGGCAAACGGGUGCGGAACACGUACGCAACCUUCCUUCAAAUGGGGGAUAGCCCACCGAAAGGUGGAUUAAUACCCCGUAACAUUUUCUGGUGGCAUCACCGGAUCAUUAUAGCUUCGGCGUUUGAAGAUGGGCGUGCGGCUGAUUAGGUAGUUGGUGGAGUAACAGCCCACCAAGCCUACGAUCAGUAACUGGUGUGAGAGCACGACCAGUCACACGGGCACUGAGACACGGGCCCGACUCCUACGGGAGGCAGCAGUAAGGAAUAUUGGUCAAUGGACGCAAGUCUGAACCAGCCAUGCCGCGUGGAGGAUGAAGGUCCUCUGGAUUGUAAACUUCUUUUAUCGGAGAAGAAACCCUCAAAUUCUUUUGGGGUUGACGGUACCCGAUGAAUAAGCACCGGCUAACUCCGUGCCAGCAGCCGCGGUAAUACGGAGGGUGCAAGCGUUAUCCGGAUUCACUGGGUUUAAAGGGAGCGUAGGUGGGGUGGUAAGUCAGUGGUGAAAUCUCCGGGCUUAACCCGGAAACUGCCGUUGAUACUAUCAUUCUUGAAUAUUGUGGAGGUAAGCGGAAUAUGUCAUGUAGCGGUGAAAUGCUUAGAUAUGACAUAGAACACCGAUAGCGAAGGCAGCUUGCUACACAAUUAUUGACACUGAGGCUCGAAAGCGUGGGGAUCAAACAGGAUUAGAUACCCUGGUAGUCCACGCCCUAAACGAUGGAUACUCGACAUACGCGAUACACAGUGUGUGUCUGAGCGAAAGCAUUAAGUAUCCCACCUGGGAAGUACGACCGCAAGGUUGA
Molecule: ribosomal RNA, 850 nt
Filed under: uncultured bacterium
Lineage: Bacteria
Description: bacterial SSU rRNA
Rfam family: Bacterial small subunit ribosomal RNA
Source: RNAcentral